RNAcentral lists this small RNA (124 nucleotides) under Marmota monax (woodchuck). Lineage: Eukaryota; Metazoa; Chordata; Mammalia; Rodentia; Sciuridae. The record is from RNAcentral.
GCCAGGCGCGGUGGUGACGCCUGUAAUCCCAGUGGCUCAGGAGGCUGAGGCAGGAGGAUCAUGAGUUCAAAGCCAGCCUCAGCAAUACCGAGGCCCUAAGCAACUCAGUGAGACCCUGUCUCUA